AGGCCAGAAGGGGCUGCCAACAUCUGCUUCCCAUUACCCGGGGGAGGGACUUCACCACCAGCCGCUGGUAACAGGAGACCCUGGCCUCUGAUUUAUGGCCCAUUUGGAAGGAGGCCUCGGAGCAAUUACUUGUUGGAUUGAGCCAGGCGAGGGGCUAGAGCUUUGCAAAGCGGAAAGCAGCCCCUGGCUGGCAGCGCUUUCUCCCCAGGAAGACAGGGACUAUCCACUCAGGAUCCAACAUAUCAGAGGAGGACUCCAGGAAGUCAUUCUACCACCUCUGCCUCCCUGCUGACGAAUCCGAUAUUUGGUUGAACAUUCCUACUUCAAAAUUCCAAAAUCUGAAGCAGUCCAAAAUCUGAAACUUUUGGGGCACUGACAUGAAGCCACAAAUAGAAAAUUCCACAUGUCUGGCAGUGUGUCUCACAGCUACCAGAAGCUUGAAGUGGUGCUGAACAUGCAUAAUGUGCUGAGACGUCUGCAGCAACUGUCCUUCCAUAGACUCCUUGGAUUUCGUGGUCCCAGGCUGAGAAAGCUUGGGGUAGAGAAAUAGGGCUGAGGGCAAAUCGCUGGCUGCAGCCGUGCUGUGGAAGCAAUGUGCCAGAAACCCUGACAAUGAACCGCUGUCUCUGACUAAUUGUUCUAGUGGAGAUGUCUCCUGUUUGACUUGAUUUUAAACUGUGGAGCACGUCAAGAGAAAGCUCACUGAUCUGCCGAGGGUUUGUGCUUUUCUGUCUUCAUGCAUCUGUUGUGGGUGAAGAGAGCAAAGAUUCUUCAUUCAAUCAAAGGCCCCCUUUGGAGAUGCUGAGAAGGAAAUUUCCUUUGGAAAUUCCCAAAGGUAGGUUCUUUGGGGAAGUGAGAACUCUGCUGCUUCAACCUUAGCCCAGCCUGCCCUCCUGGUGGGAAAGACCAGCCGUGUCUUGGCUUCCAAAGAACCAGGAGACAGAAGGAAUUUAUGGCUGGAAGCCCAGCAUGGUCGUGUCCCCUGGGCCCAGUUGCUUCCCCUCUGUGGUUUCCAUAUCUAUGUGUUAAGAGAAAGCAUCUGAAACUUUGAAAUAAGGAAGAAGAUGACUGCGUGUCCUUUGAAUGCCACAUUAAAGCACUGUCAGACAGGCCCUGCCCAAUGGCAAUUUAAUUCUUCAGGGCACGGGCCAAAUCUGGCUGCUGCCUGUUUUUGUAAAUAAAGUUCUAUUGGAACACAGCCACACCCA
Homo sapiens (human) is the source of this 1208-nucleotide long non-coding RNA. RefSeq lists it as uncharacterized. The record is from RefSeq and is a predicted model, not a curated record. Lineage: Eukaryota; Metazoa; Chordata; Mammalia; Primates; Hominidae. The transcript is spliced from 6 exons.